RNAcentral lists this long non-coding RNA (282 nucleotides) under Homo sapiens (human). RNAcentral's name for it is "non-protein coding SAMD12-AS1:9". The record is from RNAcentral. Lineage: Eukaryota; Metazoa; Chordata; Mammalia; Primates; Hominidae.
AUAAUACACAGGCAUCUCAUGAAAAUCAUCCAACAUAUAGAAGAAUAUAUAGAAUAAAGCAAAAAUCAUCAGAAACUCCACCGUCUUGGAUGACCAUAGUUGAUAUUCUGAAUGGCUUCUGUUCCGAUUGAACCUUGACUGAUGUAGCACCUAUCACCAAAUUGCUGUUCAGGAAAUAUGUCCUAAAGAAACUCCCAACAGCAGCAAUACAUCAGAGUGGCACCUCUUUACACUGGUUCUUGGUAGGUACUGUCAAUAUUUUUCAACUUUGGCAAAGUAAUA